GACGAACGCUGGCGGCGUGCCUAAUACAUGCAAGUCGAGCGAAUGACGAGAAGCUUGCUUCUCUGAUUUAGCGGCGGACGGGUGAGUAACACGUGGGCAACCUGCCCUACAGAUCGGGAUAACUCAGGGAAACCUGGGCUAAUACCGGAUAAUCCUUCGAAUCACAUGUUUUGAAGUUGAAAGGCGCUUCGGCGUCACUGUAGGAUGGGCCCGCGGUGCAUUAGCUAGUUGGUGGGGUAACGGCCUACCAAGGCAACGAUGCAUAGCCGACCUGAGAGGGUGAUCGGCCACAUUGGGACUGAGACACGGCCCAAACUCCUACGGGAGGCAGCAGUAGGGAAUCUUCCACAAUGGACGAAAGUCUGAUGGAGCAACGCCGCGUGAGUGAUGAAGGUUUUCGGAUCGUAAAACUCUGGUGUAAGGGAUGAACAAGUACGUUAGGAAAUGAACGUACCUUGACGGUACCUUAUUAGAAAGCCACGGCUAACUACGUGCCAGCAGCCGCAGUAA
RNAcentral lists this ribosomal RNA (510 nucleotides) under uncultured bacterium. Its description in RNAcentral is "partial 16S ribosomal RNA". It matches the Rfam family "Bacterial small subunit ribosomal RNA", at positions 28 to 523 of the family's 1533-position model. The record is from RNAcentral.